Molecule: ribosomal RNA, 497 nt
Filed under: uncultured bacterium
Lineage: Bacteria
Description: partial 16S ribosomal RNA
Rfam family: Bacterial small subunit ribosomal RNA
Source: RNAcentral
GAUGAACGCUGGCGGCGUGCCUAAUACAUGCAAGUCGAGCGAACAGACGAGGAGCUUGCUCCUCUGACGUUAGCGGCGGACGGGUGAGUAACACGUGGAUAACCUACUUAUAAGACUGGGAUAACUUCGGGAAACCGGAGCUAAUACCGGAUAAUAUAUUGAACCGCAUGGUUCAAUAGUGAAAGACGGUUUUGCUGUCACUUAUAGAUGGAUCCGCGCCGCAUUAGCUAGUUGGUAAGGUAACGGCUUACCAAGGCAACGAUGCGUAGCCGACCUGAGAGGAUGAUCGGCCACACUGGAACUGAGACACGGUCCAGACUCCUACGGGAGGCAGCAGUAGGGAAUCUUCCGCAAUGGGCGAAAGCCUGACGGAGCAACGCCGCGUGAGUGAUGAAGGUCUUCGGAUCGUAAAACUCUGUUAUUGGGGAAGAACAGAUGUGUAAGUAACUAUGCACGUCUUGACGGUACCUAAUCAGAAAGCCACGGCUAACUACGUG